AUUGAACGCUGGCGGAACGCUUUACACAUGCAAGUCGAACGGCAGCACGGACUUCGGUCUGGUGGCGAGUGGCGAACGGGUGAGUAAUACAUCGGAACGUGCCCAGUCGUGGGGGAUAACGUAGCGAAGGCUUCGCUAAUACCGCAUACGAUCUAAGGAUGAAAGCGGGGGAUCGCAAGACCUCGCGCGAUUGGAGCGGCCGAUGGCAGAUUAGGUAGUUGGUGUGGUAAAGGCUCACCAAGCCGACGAUCUGUAGCUGGUCUGAGAGGACGACCAGCCACACUGGGACUGAGACAAGGCCCAGACUCCUACGGGAGGCAGCAGUGGGGAAUUUUGGACAAUGGGCGAAAGCCUGAUCCAGCCAUUCCGCGUGCAGGAUGAAGGCCCUCGGGUUGUAAACUGCUUUUGUACGGAACGAAAAGGCUCUGGUUAAUACCUGGGGCUCAUGACGGUACCGUAAGAAUAAGCACCGGCUAACUACGAGCCAGCCGCCGCCGUAA
RNAcentral lists this ribosomal RNA (500 nucleotides) under uncultured bacterium. Its description in RNAcentral is "partial 16S ribosomal RNA". It matches the Rfam family "Bacterial small subunit ribosomal RNA", at positions 30 to 523 of the family's 1533-position model. The record is from RNAcentral.